CAUAUACACACUAGGCUCAGGAUUGCAGUUUCCAGUUGGUGAGCCUUGGAUACUUUCUUUGAGCCAUGUGACUCACCACAGCUUUCCUUGACUUUAGACCUGACAUGUUGAGCAAUUAAGGGAGGUCUGUCAGCUACUCAAGUGCUGAGGAGAGCCAUGUGACUCACCACAGCUUUCCUUGACUUUAGACCUGACAUGUUGAGCAAUUAAGGGAGGUGUGUCAGCUACUCAAGUGCAAAGGAGCCUUGACUUUAGACCAGACAUGUUGAGCAAUUUAGGGAGCAAUUUAGGGAGGUGUGUCAGCUACUCAAAGGCAAAGGAUUCACUCAAUUGACCAAUAACUCACU
Molecule: long non-coding RNA, 347 nt
Filed under: Prunus persica (peach)
Lineage: Eukaryota; Viridiplantae; Streptophyta; Magnoliopsida; Rosales; Rosaceae
Description: long non-coding RNA (PPER_LNC003204)
Source: RNAcentral